This 21-nucleotide small nuclear RNA is filed under the name Arabidopsis thaliana (thale cress). Its description in RNAcentral is "snRNA_08377". The record is from RNAcentral. Lineage: Eukaryota; Viridiplantae; Streptophyta; Magnoliopsida; Brassicales; Brassicaceae.
AACUCAUUUGACCAAUCAACU